CACGCAGGCGGAUUGAUAAGUCAGGGGUGAAAUCCCGGAGCUCAACUUCGGAAUUGCCUUUGAUACUGUCAAUCUCGAGUCCGGGAGAGGUGAGUGGAAUUCCUAGUGUAGAGGUGAAAUUCGUAGAUAUUAGGAAGAACACCAGUGGCGAAGGCGGCUCACUGGCCCGGUACUGACGCUCAUGUGCGAAAGCGUGGGGAGCAAACA
RNAcentral lists this ribosomal RNA (207 nucleotides) under uncultured bacterium. RNAcentral describes it as "partial 16S ribosomal RNA". It matches the Rfam family "Bacterial small subunit ribosomal RNA", at positions 568 to 774 of the family's 1533-position model. The record is from RNAcentral.